GAAAUGCGAUAAGUAAUGUGAAUUGCAGAAUUCAGUGAAUCAUCGAAUCUUUGAACGCACAUUGCGCCCGCCAGCAUUCUGGCGGGCAUGCCUGUUCGAGCGUCAUUUCAACCCUCGACUUCCCUUUGGGGAAAUCGGCGUUGGGGACUGGCAGCAUACCGCCGGCCCCGAAAUGGAGUGGCGGCCCGUCCGCGGCGACCUCUGCGUAGUAAUCCAACCUCGCACCGGAACCCCGACGUGGCCACGCCGUAAAACACCCCACUUUCUGAACGUUGACUCGGAUCAGGUAUGAAUACCCGCUGAACUUAA
Molecule: unclassified non-coding RNA, 309 nt
Filed under: uncultured Lecanicillium
Lineage: Eukaryota; Fungi; Ascomycota; Sordariomycetes; Hypocreales; Cordycipitaceae
Description: sequence contains ITS1
Rfam family: 5.8S ribosomal RNA (bases 1-105)
Source: RNAcentral